AGCGGCCAGGCCUAGACAGUUAGUUCUGGCGUUUGUUAGGGGCGAGGGUUGGACGUGGCCGCCUGCCCGGGUUGGAAGCAAGUUCCGUUUCCCAGUUGCACCCGGCGCUCCUGUCCUGACCCCCCAGGGCCACCCCACAGUCACUGUACCUGCAGCCGGAGUACGGACAAGGGGCCUGUUCUCCGCAGUGAGGGCAGCUGCUGGAGGAAGAGGGCACUGCCCAUGGGAGUGAAGGACUUGGCUACAGCCCAGCACAGUGCUAGCGAGUGCUUUGGAAGCGCCACUCAUGCCACCUACUCUAACACCCACGCUGUUCUGCACUGGACUCUCCUACCGCAGUGGUGAUGGGCAUCAGUCCUGACCUGGAGCACCCUCAGGCCCUGGCUAGUCCAGUCUGUCUUAAGAAGAUGGUCACAUCACUGUGAGAUUCUGAAAAGGCCCACUGAAGUAGGCACCAAGGUAAGUAAGCUACCAAACUCAUUUUAAAAAUUGAAACAUUGGACUAGACCUCAAAAUUAAAGGGCUACUCAAACUCCUCCCCAUUUUCCAGCAUUGGAAUGGAACAAUGAACGCAGAACAAAACAGCUUUCAUGUAACGGCUUGAAACAUUCCACAUUGGUACCAUACACUACGUUCUCUAAGGACACAACAGAGUCCAGCAUGGUGUCCUUGCUCUAUUGGAGGUUUCAGCAUUACAGUACAGGGAGCACCUCACUGGCCUUCACUUCAGACAGCAAUACAGCCAUGCACAACAAAAAGCCAAAAGACAGCCUUUCCAGCACCAUACACCUUAUAUUCACACAAACAAGAUGACCACAGUUUGCUUUGCUACCACUAUUUCUAGACCUGUCAUUUCAGGCCAUUUGACAAUCUGUUGUGCAAUUUCAGAUACAAAAAUUACAAUCCAUAUCUCCAUAGACUUGCCUUUCACUGGAUUUAAAGUGAAUGCCUUCUUGAUAGAAUGAGUAUUUUCAGUUAAAAGCCCACUAUUCAUUUUACAUAUAUUUAAAAACCAAACACUGGAGCCUACAAAAAUUUGUUGUGCUUCAGUCUUGGCUUUGGGACAAGCUGGCUUUUUUACUGCCAGUAACUGAAGUAGAGCCAGUCUCAAAGCUGAGUGUCUACAGGCUAUUAGCUUAGGUCUUUAGAACAUUUGCUUUGUAGAAGCCAAAAUCCUUCUACUGUUCUAGUGCUUCCACCCUCCCCCCCUCCAUGCCUCCUUUCUGUCAAGGGGUGCAAGAGCUCCUGGAGCUUGUUCUGAAGCUAGGAGGGCAUUGCCUUGGUAGCUUUACCCUCCUACUUCUCCAGCAAGCACCUUCUCUACCGUAGCUUUUGUACAGAUCCUUGAUGCAGAUUUUAUAGAGCCCUGCUGGAUGUUGUCUAGGUCUGGGUGGAAUUAUUGUGCAAUUAAAGGGGCACAGCAGAAGCUGAUAUACCUAUGAACCAAUCCCCACUAACUGUGUUUUGGGGUUUGCUGAUGACUAUGUGCCUCGCACACCUUCCCUCUGCUCAGCCGGCCUGUGGAUCAUUUGAAAAAUGCUGUCAGAGCAGGACUCAGAGCAGACAGGUAGGGAGUGGGGUGGAGCAAUGGGUCCUCACCACGCGCAUGAAGGGCUGUGGUGUUCUGUGGCAGCACUUAUUAAUCAUUAUAACAUAUGAAAAAAGCAGUUCUAGGGUCAUAAGGAUCCCAUGAAAGAUUAUCCCAUUGUUAAAGCAGGCAACAGCAGCAGCACCAAGAGGUGUCCUGCCAGGUGUUUCUCUGUUGGGAAGGGCUGGAACUCAGUACUACUACGGGAGACUGGUUUGAUUUCUGGACAGACUCACCAAGGGCUGAGAAUAUUGUGGAAGCCACUCACUUCAUUCACUCAACAAGUUUAUCAGCAUUACCAAAAAACCCAGAGAAACGUCUUUGCUCUGGUAAGAAGUAGGCAAGCAAUGCAACACAACACUUGGAUAUAUACGAUCCCCCACCCAAAACAGAUAUAAUGCCCUUUUGUUUUUUCCAGUUACUCUCCAUAAACCUACUCCUUUCCUUGGAAGUGCUGCUGGCUCUAUUUAACAGCUUAAAACAAGAAAGAAGAGAGAAGCUAGAGAACCCCCUUUUGGUCACUGGUCAGUGUCUUACCAGAGUUACAACAGAUUUGUACAACUGUACAACAGUUACAACAAUAUUUACUGGUGCGUUACUAACACUAAACAGGAACCCCAGUGGAGACAUUCAUUGGUUUUAAAAGGUAAGUUCUAUUAUUUAAUCAGAAUUCCUCUUUGUUAACAGUUUUCACUUGAACAAAACUUUUAAUAUUUUCUAUUCAAAAGUUUCUAGCAAAUAAUAGAACUUACCUUAAAGCAAUUGUGAAGUCUCCAGCUUCUCUCAGUCAUUCAUUUGCUGAGCACCACUUCCUGUGUCUCAAACUAUGUCAGCAGACUGGACUUCACGCUGGGAAGUAGCAGUAAAAUUGGCAACCCUCACAGACACACACCAGAACCAGUCACAGUUAUAGGUAUUGGAAAGUUAAUACGUAUAUAUUCUUAUUUAGCAAAGAUUUAUUUUGCUACCUAAAGUAAUGGCUGCAGUUGUUUCCGUUAAGCUCUGACAAGUGGAACUCGUGAGCAUAGUGCAGACCACAAUGUCAACUCUGUUCUAAUGGGAAAAGGCAGAUGGGAAUCUGACCAUGGUCAUCUUUAACCUAGAAACUGGCAGAAGUAUUCUGGUCUCUGACUUGCUCAUUCUGGAAACCCAUUUUUCCAUGAGAUGCACUAAUUGUUUUCCUUAAGAAACCCUCCAAAAUCUACACUGGUGCCAGAGAGAUUCUGCAAACUAGAUAUGAAUGCAGAUUCUACAACUGGCCUUUAGAACGGCUACUGAAAUAGAGUGGGCAACAUUAUCUUAGUGACAUUCCAUUUGUAGUGAAGCUUCUCAAAUGCUAAUAGAAAAAGUGAAUUAUGACCCCAGCACUGUGAUGGCUACUUUCUGGAUCUCUGCAUCUGCAAACCGAGUUUCCUCUCUGGCACUUGAUGAAGCUGCUUGGAUAGACUCCUGUUCAAUCAUGCCAUGUUCAAGUCAUUUGUCAUGAACGGUCAGUAAACUUUUGGCAUGCUAUGCCGCUUCAAGUGCUGCUCACCCCCCACUGGGGGUCAUCAUCAAGUGAAGAGAAAGCAUCAGAAGGUGAUCAUUUUGGAAGCUGAUAAAUGUUAC
Molecule: long non-coding RNA, 3196 nt
Organism: Trachemys scripta elegans
Lineage: Eukaryota; Metazoa; Chordata; Testudines; Emydidae
Exons: 3
Source: RefSeq, a predicted model, not a curated record